CUACGGGCGGCUGCAGUGGGGAAUAUUGCACAAUGGGCGCAAGCCUGAUGCAGCCAUGCCGCGUGUAUGAAGAAGGCCUUCGGGUUGUAAAGUACUUUCAGCGGGGAGGAAGGGAGUAAAGUUAAUACCUUUGCUCAUUGACGUUACCCGCAGAAGAAGCACCGGCUAACUCCGUGCCAGCAGCCGCGGUAAUACGGAGGGUGCAAGCGUUAAUCGGAAUUACUGGGCGUAAAGCGCACGCAGGCGGUUUGUUAAGUCAGAUGUGAAAUCCCCGGGCUCAACCUGGGAACUGCAUCUGAUACUGGCAAGCUUGAGUCUCGUAGGGGGGUAGAAUUCCAGGUGUAGCGGUGAAAUGCGUAGAGAUCUGGAGGAAUACCGGUGGCGAAGGCGGCCCCCUGGACGAAGACUGACGCUCAGGUGCGAAAGCGUGGGGAGCAAACAGGAUUAGAUACCCGCGUAGUC
Molecule: ribosomal RNA, 462 nt
Filed under: uncultured bacterium
Lineage: Bacteria
Description: partial 16S ribosomal RNA
Rfam family: Bacterial small subunit ribosomal RNA
Source: RNAcentral